This 253-nucleotide ribosomal RNA is filed under the name uncultured soil bacterium. RNAcentral's name for it is "partial 16S ribosomal RNA". It matches the Rfam family "Bacterial small subunit ribosomal RNA", at positions 26 to 285 of the family's 1533-position model. The record is from RNAcentral.
AGGACGAACGCUGGCGGCGUGCUUAACACAUGCAAGUCGAGCGGAAAGGCCCUUCGGGGUACUCGAGCGGCGAACGGGUGAGUAACACGUGAGUAACCUGCCCUAGGCUUUGGGAUAACCCUCGGAAACGGGGCUAAUACCGGAUAUUCAUUCUGCGUGGCAUCACGUGGUGUGGAAAGUUUUUCGGCCUGGGAUGGGCUCGCGGCCUAUCAGCUUGUUGGUGGGUGAUGGCCUACCAAGGCGACGACGGGUA